GGGCUGGGGCUCAGUGGUAGAGCGCUCGCCUAGCACAUGUGUGGCCUGGGUUCGAUCCUCAGCACCACA
Molecule: transfer RNA, 69 nt
Filed under: Marmota monax (woodchuck)
Lineage: Eukaryota; Metazoa; Chordata; Mammalia; Rodentia; Sciuridae
Description: tRNA.Ala
Source: RNAcentral